RNAcentral lists this ribosomal RNA (657 nucleotides) under uncultured Bacteroidota bacterium. RNAcentral's name for it is "bacterial SSU rRNA". It matches the Rfam family "Bacterial small subunit ribosomal RNA", at positions 8 to 652 of the family's 1533-position model. Lineage: Bacteria; Pseudomonadati; Bacteroidota. The record is from RNAcentral.
AGAGUUUGAUCCUGGCUCAGGAUGAACGCUAGCGGCAGGCCUAAUACAUGCAAGUCGUACGGCAGCACAGUUGCGAGCAAUCGCAACCGGUGGCGAGUGGCGCACGGGUGAGUAACGCGUAUGUAACCUACCCUUCUCCAGGACAUAACUCCGCGAAAGCGGUGCUAAUAUCCCAUAUCAACACUUGAAGACAUCUUCUUGUGUUGAAAGUAGCAAUGCGGUGAAGGAUGGGCAUGCGUCCCAUUAGCUGGUUGGUGAGGUAAUGGCCCACCAAGGCUACGAUGGGUAGGGGUUCUGAGAGGAAAGUCCCCCACACUGGUACUGAGACACGGACCAGACUCCUACGGGAGGCAGCAGUAAGGAAUAUUGGGCAAUGGUCGAAAGACUGACCCAGCCAUGCCGCGUGCAGGAUGAAGGCCCUAUGGGUUGUAAACUGCUUUUAGCCGGGAAUAAUUACCCGUUCUCUAACGGGCUUGAAGGUACCGGCUGAAUAAGCAUCGGCUAACUCCGUGCCAGCAGCCGCGGUAAUACGGAGGAUGCAAGCGUUAUCCGGAUUCACUGGGUUUAAAGGGUGCGCAGGCGGACAUUUAAGUCAGGGGUGAAAUCCUACAGCUUAACUGUAGAACUGCCCUUGAUACUGAAUGCCUAGAGUAAAGU